UGCUCGCUGAUCGUUCAUAAUG
Molecule: microRNA, 22 nt
Filed under: Melibe leonina
Lineage: Eukaryota; Metazoa; Mollusca; Gastropoda; Nudibranchia; Dendronotidae
Description: mle-miR-2001-3p
Source: miRBase by way of RNAcentral